Molecule: transfer RNA, 72 nt
Filed under: Capra hircus (goat)
Lineage: Eukaryota; Metazoa; Chordata; Mammalia; Artiodactyla; Bovidae
Also listed under: 1 other name
Rfam family: tRNA
About the family: Transfer RNA (tRNA) molecules are approximately 80 nucleotides in length.
Source: Rfam by way of RNAcentral
UUCCUGGUGGCUCAGAAGGUAAAGCGUCUGCCUGCAGUGCAGGAGACCUGGGUUCAAUCCCUGGGUGGGGAA